This 464-nucleotide ribosomal RNA is filed under the name Vreelandella stevensii. RNAcentral's name for it is "partial 16S ribosomal RNA". It matches the Rfam family "Bacterial small subunit ribosomal RNA", at positions 338 to 795 of the family's 1533-position model. The record is from RNAcentral. Lineage: Bacteria; Pseudomonadati; Pseudomonadota; Gammaproteobacteria; Oceanospirillales; Halomonadaceae.
CCUACGGGGUCUGCAGUGGGGAAUAUUGGACAAUGGGCGAAAGCCUGAUCCAGCCAUGCCGCGUGUGUGAAGAAGGCCUUCGGGUUGUAAAGCACUUUCAGUGGGGAAGAAAGCCUUGGGGCUAAUACCCUCGAGGAAGGACAUCACCCACAGAAGAAGCACCGGCUAACUCCGUGCCAGCAGCCGCGGUAAUACGGAGGGUGCGAGCGUUAAUCGGAAUUACUGGGCGUAAAGCGCGCGUAGGCGGUCUGAUAAGCCGGUUGUGAAAGCCCCGGGCUCAACCUGGGAACGGCAUCCGGAACUGUCAGGCUAGAGUGCAGGAGAGGAAGGUAGAAUUCCCGGUGUAGCGGUGAAAUGCGUAGAGAUCGGGAGGAAUACCAGUGGCGAAGGCGGCCUUCUGGACCGACACUGACGCUGAGGUGCGAAAGCGUGGGUAGCAAACAGGAUUAGAUACCCCAGUAGUC